This 72-nucleotide transfer RNA is filed under the name Grammicolepis brachiusculus. RNAcentral describes it as "tRNA-Val". It matches the Rfam family "tRNA". Rfam says of the family: Transfer RNA (tRNA) molecules are approximately 80 nucleotides in length. Their secondary structure includes four short double-helical elements and three loops (D, anti-codon, and T loops). Further hydrogen bonds mediate the characteristic L-shaped molecular structure. tRNAs have two regions of fundamental functional importance: the anti-codon, which is responsible for specific mRNA codon recognition, and the 3' end, to which the tRNAs corresponding amino acid is attached (by aminoacyl-tRNA synthetases). tRNAs cope with the degeneracy of the genetic code in two manners: having more than one tRNA (with a specific anti-codon) for a particular amino acid; and 'wobble' base-pairing, i.e. permitting non-standard base-pairing at the 3rd anti-codon position. The record is from RNAcentral. Lineage: Eukaryota; Metazoa; Chordata; Actinopteri; Zeiformes; Grammicolepididae. RNAcentral also lists the same sequence under 1 other name.
CAGAGUGUAGCUAAAAUAGUAAAGCAUUUCCCUUACACCGAAAAGCCGCCCGUGCAAAUCGAGCCACCCUGA